RNAcentral lists this ribosomal RNA (513 nucleotides) under uncultured bacterium. RNAcentral describes it as "partial 16S ribosomal RNA". It matches the Rfam family "Bacterial small subunit ribosomal RNA", at positions 28 to 523 of the family's 1533-position model. The record is from RNAcentral.
GACGAACGCUGGCGGCGUGCCUAAUACAUGCAAGCUGAGCGCUGAAGGUUGGUACUUGUACCAACUGGAUGAGCAGCGAACGGGUGAGUAACGCGUGGGGAAUCUGCCUUUGAGCGGGGGACAACAUUUGGAAACGAAUGCUAAUACCGCAUAAAAACUUUAAACACAAGUUUUAAGUUUGAAAGAUGCAAUUGCAUCACUCAAAGAUGAUCCCGCGUUGUAUUAGCUAGUUGGUGAGGUAAAGGCUCACCAAGGCGAUGAUACAUAGCCGACCUGGGAGGGUGAACGGCCACAUUGGGACUGAGACACGGCCCAAACUCCUACGGGAGGCAGCAGUAGGGAAUCUUCGGCAAUGGACGAAAGUCUGACCGAGCAACGCCGCGUGAGUGAAGAAGGGUUUCGGAUCGUAAAACUCUGUUGGUAGAGAAGUACGUUGGUGAGAGUGGAGAGCUCAUCAAGUGACGGUAACUACCCAGAAAGGGACGGCUAACUACGUGCCAGCAGCCGCGGUAA